AUGACAGCCGCCGUCCUCGCACGCCCGACGCUGGGCAACGUCCAGUGCUUCGGCAGGAAGAAGACCGCCGUGGCUGUGGCCCACUGCAAGCCCGGCCGCGGCCUCAUCAAGGUCAGCGGCGCGCCGAUCGAGCUCGUCCGCCCAGAGAUGCUCCGCCUCAAGGCCCUGGAGCCGAUCCUGCUCGCCGGGAAGUCCCGCUUCAAGGGCAUCGACAUGAGGAUCCGCGUGCGCGGCGGCGGCAAGGUGAGCCAGGUCUACUCGAUCCGCCAGGCCAUCGCCAAGGCGCUCGUCGCCUACAACCAGAAGUACGUCGACGAGGCAGCCAAGAAGGAGGUCAAGGAGAUCCUGGGCCGCUAUGACCGCACGCUGCUCGUCGCCGACCCGCGCCGUUGUGAGCCCAAGAAGUUCGGCGGCCGCGGCGCCCGUGCCCGCUUCCAGAAGUCGUACCGUUGA
This 453-nucleotide ribosomal RNA is filed under the name Triticum aestivum (bread wheat). RNAcentral describes it as "partial small subunit ribosomal RNA". Lineage: Eukaryota; Viridiplantae; Streptophyta; Magnoliopsida; Poales; Poaceae. The record is from RNAcentral.